This 270-nucleotide ribosomal RNA is filed under the name uncultured bacterium. Its description in RNAcentral is "partial 16S ribosomal RNA". It matches the Rfam family "Bacterial small subunit ribosomal RNA", at positions 84 to 353 of the family's 1533-position model. The record is from RNAcentral.
UUUGAUGGCGACCGGCGCACGGGUGAGUAACACGUAUCCAACCUGCCGAUGACUCGGGGAUAGCCUUUCGAAAGAAAGAUUAAUACCCGAUGGCAUAGUUCUUCCGCAUGGUAGCACUAUUAAAGAAUUUCGGUCAUCGAUGGGGAUGCGUUCCAUUAGGUUGUUGGCGGGGUAACGGCCCACCAAGCCUUCGAUGGAUAGGGGUUCUGAGAGGAAGGUCCCCCACAUUGGAACUGAGACACGGUCCAAACUCCUACGGGAGGCAGCAUG